CUGGAAAAAAGAUUAAUAUGCCAUCAUAUGGCACGUGGAAAGAAGAUUGAUGUGAGAAUUCAAGAGUCCUUACCAUUAGGGACUCUUCCAUAAACUCAACAUAAAAAAGGGAGGGACUAAUUAAUUUUUGGCAUUCAAACUCCUUGCCAAAGAAGGACUCUUCCUUCUCUUCUGUGUCGAUAAUUUCAAGUGCCAUCUCAUGUCAUGAGGAAUUAAAAAACACAUGGAGAAUAUGGAAG
Molecule: long non-coding RNA, 239 nt
Filed under: Elaeis guineensis (African oil palm)
Lineage: Eukaryota; Viridiplantae; Streptophyta; Magnoliopsida; Arecales; Arecaceae
Description: long non-coding RNA (EGUI_LNC062336)
Source: RNAcentral